GGGGGUGCUCCGGUUUCGACAGAGGAACGGAAAGCGCUGCUGCGUGCCGAGGAGCCGUUGGCCUCGUAAACAAACGGCAAAGCCAUUAACUGGCGAAAAUAACUACGCUCUCGCUGCUUAAGUGAGACAGUGACCACGUAGCCCCGCCUUUGGCGACGUGUGAACUGAGACAAAAGAAGGCUAGCUUAGGUGAGGUUCCAUAGCCAAAAGUGAAACCAAAUGGAAAUAAGGCGGACGGCAGCCUGUUUGCUGGCAGCCCAGGCCCGACAAUUUAAGAGCAGACUACGCACGUAGAUGCACGCUGGAUGGACCUUUGGACGGCGGUUCGACUCCGCCCACCUCCACCA
Non-coding RNA from Deinococcus proteolyticus MRP, 347 nucleotides. It matches the Rfam family "transfer-messenger RNA". From Rfam's summary of the family: Bacterial tmRNA, also known as 10Sa RNA or SsrA, is named for its dual tRNA and mRNA-like properties. Its role is to liberate the mRNA from a stalled ribosome. Lineage: Bacteria; Thermotogati; Deinococcota; Deinococci; Deinococcales; Deinococcaceae. The record is from Rfam.